This 403-nucleotide ribosomal RNA is filed under the name uncultured Oscillibacter sp. RNAcentral's name for it is "bacterial SSU rRNA". It matches the Rfam family "Bacterial small subunit ribosomal RNA", at positions 356 to 774 of the family's 1533-position model. The record is from RNAcentral. Lineage: Bacteria; Bacillati; Bacillota; Clostridia; Eubacteriales; Oscillospiraceae.
GGGGAAUAUUGGGCAAUGGACGCAAGUCUGACCCAGCAACGCCGCGUGAAGGAAGAAGGCUUUCGGGUUGUAAACUUCUUUUAAGGGGGAAGAGUAGAAGACGGUACCCCUUGAAUAAGCCACGGCUAACUACGUGCCAGCAGCCGCGGUAAUACGUAGGGGGCGAGCGUUGUCCGGAAUGACUGGGCGUAAAGGGCGCGUAGACGGUUUUUUAAGUCUGGAGUGAAAGUCCUGCUUUCAAGGUGGGAAUUGCUUUGGAGACUGGAAGGCUUGAGUGCGGAAGAGGUAAGUGGAAUUCCCAGUGUAGCGGUGAAAUGCGUAGAGAUUGGGAAGAACACCAGUGGCGAAGGCGACUUACUGGGCCGUAACUGACGUUGAUGCGCGAAAGCGUGGGGAGCGAACA